CUCAGACACAACGUCAUUUUCUAACACUAACGAGAAUACAAAGGAGAGUAUUUCAACAAUCUGGUGGGCUUUCUUCUAUUCAAGAUGAAUAUCACUUUACUGGUAUCUCUAUUUACCCUGUUGCUGAUAAUUAGUCCACCUGAAGUGUAUGCAGUCUCCACCGCGCCACCUGUCGUCACCGCGACUCCUGUCGUCACCGCGCCACCGCCUGUCGCCACCGCGCCACCGCCCGUCGUCACCGCGCCGCCUGUCGCCACCGCGCCGCCUGGAACAGGUGGAGGAUCUAAAGGAGGUGGAUCUACUUCUGGAGGGGGAAAAAAUGGAACCUCACGGAAUUUCACGACAGCAAAUUAUUUCAUCAUCAUUCUGUUGAACAUAUUUUGUUUUCUCUUUCUUGCGUCGGUACCUCAGUAAAUCUUAUACACGUUGUUAUUAAAAUCUAAACAUUGAACCAUAUUAUGCUGGG
Molecule: long non-coding RNA, 466 nt
Organism: Mizuhopecten yessoensis (Yesso scallop)
Lineage: Eukaryota; Metazoa; Mollusca; Bivalvia; Pectinida; Pectinidae
Exons: 3
Source: RefSeq, a predicted model, not a curated record